CAAAUAUUCCCCAGAAGCCUAAUAUGUGCUCCAUGCUACCACACACAAGGGCAAAUGGAUAGAUGAAGAGGACACCCUUAUUAUCUAAGAGUGUGGGAACUGGACUGGAGCCAAAAAUCCCAACAGCUCAAACUCAGGGCUGGGUCAGAAUCAGGCGGAGAACCCGGAGUGGUGACAGUGAUGGCAGCAGAGCCAGGGUGAGACUGAGAGUGCUCAGACUAAUUUUCUUGGAAGUAGUGGAAAGCUCCGCUAAAAAAGAAACAUGGGUUUGGAUUGAGCAGAAUGUCAAGAGCCCUGAGAACCAACCAAAAAAUGGCAGAUGAGCUGUUUCAGGGGCAACAUUUAGGAAAGUGAAAUCUCUGCUUUGCUUACAAUGACGGGACUGAAAAUGGCAAUUCUGCACAGGAAAGGGACUGUGGGACUCUUCCAAGACAUUUAGGACAUCCAAGUUUCUUUGAAGGUUGGCACAUCAGUCUUUAUUCUUCCACAGAGGAAACUAAGGCUCGGAUUAAGGGCUUUGCACCAGAUCUGGUAAGUGAGCCAGCUCUGCCCAACACCAGAGUUCAUUCUGGAACCGUAGCCAAAUCCAAAGCUCAUACCACUCGUCUCACAACAGCCAAUAAGACAAGACAUACUCAACUAUUCUUUCCAAAUAAAGGAAAGUGACUUUAUUUCAGGAAGCCAGCAAACUGAGAAGAUGGCAGACUGGUGUCCUAAAGGACCAUCUUCAAAGGUUCAUUGUCUGGAACCCCUGUAACAAAAGACAGAUUAAGAAGAAGAAAGCAUACUAAUUUAUUUAAUGUAAGUUAUACAUGAAAAAAAAUGAAGACCUGAAGAAGUAAUUAAACCUGGGUGGGGUUUUGCUGCUGUUUGUGGUGGUGGUGGUGAUGGUGUUUUCGAGGCAGGGUCUCGCUGUAUCGCCCAGCCUGGUCUCUCACAGGAGGGUCUUAGGCCUGCUUCAGGGGAAGGUCAGAAAAGUCUUCCUAGGUUUUAGGACCUGCUGCAGAGGGGAAAGAAGAGGAAUGGCCAGGGGAGGUCAGAGAAACCUUCCUGAACAUGCUGUUUCUCAAAUUCCUUCUGCUUAAACUGUUCGCUAUGCUAAGGUGCCAGAUUUGGGAGUAGCGUGUCCUGAAGACCAUCAACUUUGCAGGUGGUUUGAUGUGGUUACAAGUGCUUAAAAAUGCCCUCUGUUGCCUCAUCUUUGAAAUGGGAUAACAGUGAUACUAAUAGCUCCUGUCCAACAGAGGCAUUCAGUGCCUGGCAUGUCAUUAGUAUUAUAUAUACAUAACAAAUAAUAUCCUGUCUGUUUCUUUGAGGAGUUUCAGACACACUAUCAAGAAAGCCUGCUGUGUUGAAGUGUAAGAGUGCAGCCCCGCUUACAGCGCUUCUUGGUUAGAAAGGCCCAGGCUAGGCUGGGCAUGGUAGCUCAUGCCUGUAAUCCUGGCACUUUGGGAGGCCGAGGCAGGUGGAUCACUUGA
RNAcentral lists this long non-coding RNA (1478 nucleotides) under Homo sapiens (human). RNAcentral's name for it is "HSALNT0343534". The record is from RNAcentral. Lineage: Eukaryota; Metazoa; Chordata; Mammalia; Primates; Hominidae.